RNAcentral lists this ribosomal RNA (481 nucleotides) under uncultured bacterium. RNAcentral describes it as "partial 16S ribosomal RNA". It matches the Rfam family "Bacterial small subunit ribosomal RNA", at positions 28 to 507 of the family's 1533-position model. The record is from RNAcentral.
GAUGAACGCUGGCGGCGUGCUUAACACAUGCAAGUCGAACGAAGCACUUUAUUUGAUUUCCUUCGGGACUGAUUAUUUUGUGACUGAGUGGCGGACGGGUGAGUAACGCGUGGGUAACCUGCCUUGUACAGGGGGAUAACAGUUGGAAACGGCUGCUAAUACCGCAUAAGCGCACGGCAUCGCAUGAUGCAGUGUGAAAAACUCCGGUGGUAUAAGAUGGACCCGCGUUGGAUUAGCUAGUUGGUGAGGUAACGGCCCACCAAGGCGACGAUCCAUAGCCGACCUGAGAGGGUGACCGGCCACAUUGGGACUGAGACACGGCCAAAACUCCUACGGGAGGAAGCAGUGGGGAAUAUUGCACAAUGGGCGAAAGCCUGAUGCAGCGACGCCGCGUGAGCGAAGAAGUAUUUCGGUAUGUAAAGCUCUAUCAGCAGGGAAGAUAAUGACGGUACCUGACUAAGAAGCACCGGCUAAAUACGUG